Manihot esculenta (cassava) is the source of this 156-nucleotide long non-coding RNA. RefSeq lists it as uncharacterized. The record is from RefSeq and is a predicted model, not a curated record. The transcript is spliced from 2 exons. Lineage: Eukaryota; Viridiplantae; Streptophyta; Magnoliopsida; Malpighiales; Euphorbiaceae.
AUUUAUUUGAACAGAAGAAAAAAAAAUGGAAAAACACCUUCUCGCUUAGAGCUUUUUCUUGAAUCCAGAAAGAGAAAGCAAGGCAAAGAAAUUGAUCCAAUAUCACAAGAAGCCAUUGAAAAGUUUCAGCAACUAAAGAAACAACGAGAAGAAGGA